GCAAAAGCUGUGAAGAGGAAUAGUAACUGCCCAUCAUUUUUCCAGAAAGCUGUCGGGAGAUGCGAGACAGCAAAAUGCGGACGGUGAACUCGCCUUGAAGCUGCGGACUGAACAGGUCGGUAAAGCCUCGGUAACGAAGAACAGAUUUUGUUACGGCUUAACAGACAGUAGGUUUCGCCGGAAGCCCACCGUUAAAAGGGAACGGCAUGAUAGUGUCAAAGAGAGCGUACUGGUCACAGUACGAAGUAGAGUGGUAACGCGAAAGAAUAAUCUUCCGUCUCUACA
This 285-nucleotide non-coding RNA is filed under the name Clostridiales bacterium. RNAcentral describes it as "T-box sequence". It matches the Rfam family "T-box leader". From Rfam's summary of the family: Uncharged tRNA acts as the effector for transcription antitermination of genes in the T-box leader family. Lineage: Bacteria; Bacillati; Bacillota; Clostridia; Eubacteriales. The record is from RNAcentral.